UACGAAGGUGGCAAGCGUUGUUCGGAUUUACUGGGCGUAAAGGGAGCGUAGGCGGUUUGGUAAGCCCUUCGGGAAAUCUUCAGGCUUAACCUGAAAAGGUCGAGGGGGACUGCCAGGCUAGAGGACGGGAGAGGAGCGCGGAAUUCCCGGUGUAGCGGUGAAAUGCGUAGAGAUCGGGAGGAAGGCCGGUGGCGAAGGCGGCGCUCUGGAACGUUCCUGACGCUGAGGCUCGAAAGCGUGGGGAGCAAACAGG
RNAcentral lists this ribosomal RNA (253 nucleotides) under uncultured Nitrospira sp. Its description in RNAcentral is "partial 16S ribosomal RNA". It matches the Rfam family "Bacterial small subunit ribosomal RNA", at positions 524 to 776 of the family's 1533-position model. The record is from RNAcentral. Lineage: Bacteria; Pseudomonadati; Nitrospirota; Nitrospiria; Nitrospirales; Nitrospiraceae.